CCUACGGGAGGCUGCAGUGGGGAAUAUUGGGCAAUGGGCGCAAGCCUGACCCAGCAACGCCGCGUGAAGGAAGAAGGCUUUCGGGUUGUAAACUUCUUUUAAGGGGGAAGAGCAGAAGACGGUACCCCUUGAAUAAGCCACGGCUAACUACGUGCCAGCAGCCGCGGUAAUACGUAGGUGGCAAGCGUUGUCCGGAUUUACUGGGUGUAAAGGGCGUGCAGCCGGAGAGGCAAGUCAGAUGUGAAAUCCGCGGGCUCAACCCGCGAACUGCAUUUGAAACUGCUUCCCUUGAGUAUCGGAGAGGUAACCGGAAUUCCUAGUGUAGCGGUGAAAUGCGUAGAUAUUAGGAAGAACACCAGUGGCGAAGGCGGGUUACUGGACGACAACUGACGGUGAGGCGCGAAAGCGUGGGGAGCAAACAGGAUUAGAUACCCGUGU
RNAcentral lists this ribosomal RNA (438 nucleotides) under uncultured bacterium. RNAcentral's name for it is "bacterial SSU rRNA". It matches the Rfam family "Bacterial small subunit ribosomal RNA", at positions 338 to 791 of the family's 1533-position model. The record is from RNAcentral.